This 329-nucleotide unclassified non-coding RNA is filed under the name soil metagenome. Its description in RNAcentral is "partial contains 5.8S ribosomal RNA, internal transcribed spacer 2, and large subunit ribosomal RNA". The stretch from base 2 to 120 matches the Rfam family "5.8S ribosomal RNA", at positions 36 to 154 of the family's 154-position model. The record is from RNAcentral.
UAUGAAGAACGUAGCGAAAUGCGAUAAGUAAUGUGAAUUGCAGAAUUCAGUGAAUCAUCGAAUCUUUGAACGCACAUUGCGCCCUCUGGUAUUCCGGGGGGCAUGCCUGUUCGAGCGUCAUUAUAACCACUCAAGCUCUCGCUUGGUAUUGGGGUUCGCGGUUUCGCGGCCCCUAAAAUCAGUGGCGGUGCCUGUCGGCUCUACGCGUAGUAAUACUUCUCGCGAUUGAGUUCGAUAGGUCUACUUGCCAGUAACCCCCAAUUUUUACAGGUUGACCUCGGAUCAGGUAGGGAUACCCGCUGAACUUAAGCAUAUCAAUAAGCGGAGGA